AGCAAUGGUUCUUCAGAGGACUUGGAGAAUCUGGACACCGAAUGUUCCGAAGGAGUAAAUGGAUUGGGCCUGAUCUGGUAUUGCUUAGAUCCCAAACCAGAUGCUCAACAGGAUGCCGAGAGAGAAGGGAUGCUUAUUCUGUAGGCCGAAGGCUGGUGCAACUGGCUCUGGCAUGGGAAUGGCCGAGUCCUUCUGGGUCCAUGUGUCUGAAAACACCCUGCCCUGCACCUAGGUGCUAAGUUCCCAGCUGGGUUCCGACAUCCCUGUGGAGAAACGAGCCGGUAGCAGAUCAUACCCUCCCAGGCUGGGGCUAGAGAAGGCUCUGAAGGCAAAUUUACAUUAGGACUCACCUACAGAAUUUGUCGUCCCUCUGCUGUGAGACUCCCCCGACACACAGACAAAUGGAGACUGAAAAGCGUGUUGGAUGGAGUCAUCUGGCUCGGCCUGGCCACAACUCUUUAUCCAUUUAGAUUCAGGAACAGUUAAGGCAUCUGUUGGUUGUUUCUAAAGCACAGGGAUGCUCUCUGGACUGAGCGCAGAUGCCAAAAGCCAGCCUGGGGAGGUUGCUGGAAGGACCCCCCCAGCCAGACGUGGCAGCAGAGAACACACCUGGAUAAAUGAGGUGGUACAGAAAAGGGAGGGGAACCUGGGACUGUCCAGUCAGGAGUCAGGGCUGGGACUGGUAGCAAGGAAGGAUUCACCUGAGGAGGUGACAUCAGUGAGGAGGAAACUACCUUGCAGGUUAGCUAGAAGCAGUGAUAGCUCCACCUCAAGUAAACAUGGUCAGAGAGACCCUCUCCCAUGGAUGAUGGCUCUGGGGAAGAAUAGGCGGCUUAGAAGUAGCGUGGUGCAUAGAAGGGCACAGCCAGUGCAGGUCAUUGCAUGCGCGAGGAUUGGACAGCUCAGGAGACAAGGAGGGCUGGGAUAGGCUGGGAGAGUGGUCGCUGAGUGACUGAUGCAGAGAAGGGACCUGCUGAAGUCAUAGCAGGGAGCAGAGCAUGUAACCCACAGGGAGGAGCAACCAGUAGCUGAGCAGGGGGGACAGAAAGUGAGUGGCAAAUGGAUGGAGGGAGUUUUCUACAGG
Molecule: long non-coding RNA, 1084 nt
Organism: Mauremys mutica (yellowpond turtle)
Lineage: Eukaryota; Metazoa; Chordata; Testudines; Geoemydidae
Exons: 3
Source: RefSeq, a predicted model, not a curated record